RNAcentral lists this non-coding RNA (157 nucleotides) under Perkinsus marinus ATCC 50983. Its description in RNAcentral is "Eukaryotic small subunit ribosomal RNA". It matches the Rfam family "Eukaryotic small subunit ribosomal RNA", at positions 1672 to 1831 of the family's 1831-position model. The record is from Rfam by way of RNAcentral. Lineage: Eukaryota; Perkinsozoa; Perkinsida; Perkinsidae.
CCCGUCGCUCCUACCGAUUGAGUGAUCCGGUGAGCUGUCCGGACUGCGAUUAGUUCAGUUUCUGUUCUCUUCGCGGGAAGUUCUGCAAACCUUAUCACUUAGAGGAAGGAGAAGUCGUAACAAGGUUUCCGUAGGUGAACCUGCGGAAGGAUCAUUC